GUGAAUCAUCAAAUUUUUGAACGCACAUUGCACUCUCUUGGAAUCGUAUGACUGUUUGUGUGUGAGUAUCAAUUAAAAUCGGAGUGUUGCGCCUUUGUGACGCUCCGGUGUUUGUGUCAUCUUAAUAUCCUAUCGGUUUUAAGAGGCUUAAAAUUGACUUUUUUUGCGCAUUUUAGCUGUACAUAAAUUCUUUUUUUUAUUCGUCUGUCUUAAUGCUCAAAAUCUUAUUAGAUGCGACAAUAUCGUGUGGCUUAGUGUCUAUAAAUUUUUCAUGAUUUAAUCUCAAAUCAGGUA
This 294-nucleotide unclassified non-coding RNA is filed under the name Glomeraceae sp. Its description in RNAcentral is "partial internal transcribed spacer 2". Lineage: Eukaryota; Fungi; Glomeromycota; Glomeromycetes; Glomerales; Glomeraceae. The record is from RNAcentral.